AAUAGAUACCCCGGUAGUCCACGCCGUAAACGAUGAGUGCUAAGUGUUAGAGGGUUUCCGCCCUUUAGUGCUGCGGCUAACGCAUUAAGCACUCCGCCUGGGGAGUACGGCCGCAAGGCUGAAACUCAAAGGAAUUGACGGGGGCCCGCACAAGCGGUGGAGCAUGUGGUUUAAUUCGAAGCAACGCGAAGAACCUUACCAGGUCUUGACAUCCUCUGACAACCCUAGAGAUAGGGCUUUCCCCUUCGGGGGACAGAGUGACAGGUGGUGCAUGGUUGUCGUCAGCUCGUGUCGUGAGAUGUUGGGUUAAGUCCCGCAACGAGCGCAACCCUUGAUCUUAGUUGCCAGCAUUCAGUUGGGCACUCUAAGGUGACUGCCGGUGACAAACCGGAGGAAGGUGGGGAUGACGUCAAAUCAUCAUGCCCCUUAUGACCUGGGCUACACACGUGCUACAAUGGAUGGUACAAAGGGCUGCAAACCUGCGAAGGUAAGCGAAUCCCAUAAAGCCAUUCUCAGUUCGGAUUGCAGG
RNAcentral lists this ribosomal RNA (529 nucleotides) under uncultured bacterium. Its description in RNAcentral is "bacterial SSU rRNA". It matches the Rfam family "Bacterial small subunit ribosomal RNA", at positions 777 to 1304 of the family's 1533-position model. The record is from RNAcentral.